RNAcentral lists this ribosomal RNA (251 nucleotides) under uncultured bacterium. RNAcentral describes it as "partial 16S ribosomal RNA". It matches the Rfam family "Bacterial small subunit ribosomal RNA", at positions 524 to 776 of the family's 1533-position model. The record is from RNAcentral.
GACGGGGGGGGCAAGUGUUCUUCGGAAUGACUGGGCGUAAAGGGCACGUAGGCGGUGAAUCGGGUUGAAAGUGAAAGUCGCCAAAAAGUGGCGGAAUGCUCUCGAAACCAAUUCACUUGAGUGAGACAGAGGAGAGUGGAAUUUCGUGUGUAGCGGUGAAAUGCGCAGAUAUCAGGAGGAACACCGAUGGCGAAGGCAGGUCUCUGGGCCACUACUGACGCUGAGAAGCGAAAGCGUGGGGAGCGAACAGG